Molecule: ribosomal RNA, 373 nt
Filed under: uncultured bacterium
Lineage: Bacteria
Description: bacterial SSU rRNA
Rfam family: Bacterial small subunit ribosomal RNA
Source: RNAcentral
GACGAACGCUGGCGGCGUGCUUAACACAUGCAAGUCGAACGAUGAAAGCGGGAGCUUGCUCCUGCUGGAUUAGUGGCGAACGGGUGAGUAACACGUGAGCAAUCUGCCCCGAACUCUGGGAUAAGCGUUGGAAACGACGUCUAAUACCGGAUACGACGCGCGAAGGCAUCUUCUGCGCGUGGAAAGAAUUUCGGUUCGGGAUGAGCUCGCGGCCUAUCAGCUAGUUGGUGAGGUAAUGGCUCACCAAGGCGACGACGGGUAGCCGGCCUGAGAGGGUGACCGGCCACACUGGGACUGAGACACGGCCCAGACUCCUACGGGAGGCAGCAGUGGGGAAUAUUGCACAAUGGGCGGCAAGCCUGAUGCAGCAACG